Molecule: ribosomal RNA, 440 nt
Filed under: uncultured bacterium
Lineage: Bacteria
Description: partial 16S ribosomal RNA
Rfam family: Bacterial small subunit ribosomal RNA
Source: RNAcentral
CCUACGGGUGGCUGCAGUGGGGAAUAUUGCACAAUGGGGGAAACCCUGAUGCAGCGACGCCGCGUGAGUGAAGAAGUAUCUCGGUACGUAAAGCUCUAUCAGCAGGGAAGUAAAUGACGGUACCUGACUAAGAAGCCCCGGCUAACUACGUGCCAGCAGCCGCGGUAAUACGUAGGGUGCAAGCGUUAUCCGGAUUUACUGGGUGUAAAGGGCGCGUAGGCGGCAGGACAAGUCUGGAGUGAAAUCCCGGGGCUUAACCGCGGAACUGCGUUGGAAACUGGGCGGCUGGAGUGCAGGAGGGGAAAGUGGAAUUCCUGGUGUAGCGGUGAAAUGCGUAGAUAUUAGGAGGAACACCGGUGGCGAAGGCGGCUUUCUGGACUGUAACUGACGCUGAGGCUCGAAAGCGUGGGUAGCAAACAGGAUUAGAUACCCGUGUAGUC